AGUGGCGAACGGGUGAGUAACACGUAGAUAAUCUGCCUUUCAGACGGGGAUAACUCAGGGAAACUUGUGCUAAUACCCGAUGAGACUACGAGGGGGGACCUUCGCAGCCAAAGGUGGGCGAAAGCUCACGCUGGAAGAUGAGUCUGCGUCCUAUCAGCUAGUUGGUGGGGUAAAAGCCUACCAAGGCGAAGACGGGUAGCCGGCCUGAGAGGGUGAACGGCCACACUGGGACUGAGACACGGCCCAGACUCCUACGGGAGGCAGCAGUGAGGAAUUUUCCGCAAUGGGCGCAAGCCUGACGGAGCGACGCCGCGUGAGGGAUGACGGCCUUCGGGUUGUAAACCUCUUUUAUUAAGGAAAAAGGCAAUCGUGCUAACACCACGGUUGUUUGAUGGUACUUAUUGAAUAAGCCCCGGCUAACUACGUGCCAGCAGCCGCGGUAAUACGUAGGGGGCGAGCGUUGUCCGGAGUUACUGGGCGUAAAGAGCGUGUAGGCGGUUGAAAAAGUCAGGUGUGAAAUUCUUCGGCUCAACCGAGGGACUGCGCCUGAAACUUUUCGACUGGAGUUUGGGAGGGGCAACUGGAAUUCCUGGUGUAACGGUGAAAUGUGUAGAUAUCAGGAGGAACACCCGUGGCGAAGGCGGGUUGCUGGACCAAAACUGACGCUGAGACGCGAAAGCGUGGGUAGCAAACAGGAUUAGAUACCCUGGUAGUCCACGCU
RNAcentral lists this ribosomal RNA (721 nucleotides) under uncultured bacterium. Its description in RNAcentral is "bacterial SSU rRNA". It matches the Rfam family "Bacterial small subunit ribosomal RNA", at positions 94 to 801 of the family's 1533-position model. The record is from RNAcentral.